RNAcentral lists this ribosomal RNA (253 nucleotides) under uncultured bacterium. RNAcentral's name for it is "partial 16S ribosomal RNA". It matches the Rfam family "Bacterial small subunit ribosomal RNA", at positions 524 to 776 of the family's 1533-position model. The record is from RNAcentral.
UACAGAGGGGGCAAGCGUUGUUCGGAAUUACUGGGCGUAAAGGGCGCGUAGGUGGCCUUCUAAGUCGAACGUGAAAUCCCUGGGCUCAACCCAGGAACUGCGUCCGAGACUGGGAGGCUUGAAUCCGGGAGAGGGAUGCGGAAUUCCAGGUGUAGCGGUGAAAUGCGUAGAUAUCUGGAGGAACACCGGUGGCGAAGGCGGCAUCCUGGACCGGCAUUGACGCUGAGGCGCGAAAGCUAGGGGAGCAAACGGG